Molecule: long non-coding RNA, 384 nt
Filed under: Lathyrus oleraceus (garden pea)
Lineage: Eukaryota; Viridiplantae; Streptophyta; Magnoliopsida; Fabales; Fabaceae
Description: Pisum sativum (pea) long non-coding RNA (PSAT_LNC015767)
Source: RNAcentral
GAUCAGGAUAAGAGACAUGCUCUUGUGGAGAAGCGCUUUAAGAUGGAUACCGCUUACUAUGGCAAGGUCAGGCAAGCAUUGGAGUCGUCUACAAGGGAGCACGAUAUUACCAAGGAGAAGCUAGCCCGAGCUUCAAAGGUCAUUGAAGAUGAGAAGAGGAGGCAAAUCCUCGUGAGGGAUCAGAGGGAAGACAGAGUCAGAGUCCUUAUCGCUGAGUGGGAGGCAAAGAUGAAGAUUAAGGAAACAGAGAAUGUGAAGACUAUUGCUGAGAGAGAUCAUUAUAUCGCCGAGAGAGAUCACUAUAUUGCUGAGAGAGAUCAUUACUUCAGACAGAUGAAGAUUCACCAGAAGGAGAUAGGGAGAUUGCAGCAGGAGAACACCGAG